This 483-nucleotide ribosomal RNA is filed under the name uncultured bacterium. RNAcentral's name for it is "partial 16S ribosomal RNA". It matches the Rfam family "Bacterial small subunit ribosomal RNA", at positions 30 to 507 of the family's 1533-position model. The record is from RNAcentral.
UUGAACGCUGGCGGCAGGCCUAACACAUGCAAGUCGAGCGGAUGAAGGGAGCUUGCUCCUGGAUUCAGCGGCGGACGGGUGAGUAAUGCCUAGGAAUCUGCCUGGUAGUGGGGGAUAACGUCCGGAAACGGGCGCUAAUACCGCAUACGUCCUGAGGGAGAAAGUGGGGGAUCUUCGGACCUCACGCUAUCAGAUGAGCCUAGGUCGGAUUAGCUAGUUGGUGGGGUAAAGGCCUACCAAGGCGACGAUCCGUAACUGGUCUGAGAGGAUGAUCAGUCACACUGGAACUGAGACACGGUCCAGACUCCUACGGGAGGCAGCAGUGGGGAAUAUUGGACAAUGGGCGAAAGCCUGAUCCAGCCAUGCCGCGUGUGUGAAGAAGGCCUUCGGAUUGUAAAGCACUUUAAGUUGGGAGGAAGGGCAGUAAGUUAAUACCUUGCUGUUUUGACGUUACCAACAGAAUAAGCACCGGCUAACUUCGUG